CAAUAGCGUAUAUUAACGUUGUUGCAGUUAAAAAGCUCGUAGUUGGAUUUCUGGAGGGAGCGUCGGCCCGUAUUUACGAGUGCGUGACGUCUCUGUCCAUCCUUGCGGGAAGGCACGGCAUUGAUUUGUUGUGUCGGAUCGCAUCAUUUACUGUGAAAAAAUUAGAGUGUUCAAAGCAGGCUUUCGCUUGAAUACAUUAGCAUGGAAUAAUAAGACAGGACUUUGGUGCUAUUUUGUUGGUUGAGCCUAAAGUAAUGAUUAAUAGGGAUAGUUGGGGGCACCUGUAUUGCGUUGUCAGAGGUGAAAUUCUUGGAUUUACGCAAGACAAACAGCUGCGAAAGCGUCUGCCAAGGAUGUUUUCAUUAA
This 366-nucleotide ribosomal RNA is filed under the name uncultured eukaryote. RNAcentral describes it as "partial 18S ribosomal RNA". It matches the Rfam family "Eukaryotic small subunit ribosomal RNA", at positions 592 to 976 of the family's 1831-position model. The record is from RNAcentral.